CUUGCUCUUGAGUCACUUAUUCUCUUCACUUUCUCUACCCUUUCCUCUAGCUUCUUUCCAUAGUGGGAAGGCCUUCUGAGCUGAGAGGAUAUUCCAAACAUUUCCACCAUUACCAGAACAUCAAACUCCAUUGCAUCCAUCUAGAACCACUGCAUCAAAACUCUUGUCCGCUGCAUCUCUCUGUUUUUCAACUUGCUUGCUGUUUGGAGUUACUUCACUUGAUUCCAGACCUUGGCAAGUUUCCAUCAAGUGGUAUCAUGAGUUGUGGUCGUCCACGCAUCCAUAGCUAAGUUUUCCUUCCAUUUUCCAUUUCAAUUUUCAUUAUAUUCGUGUUGUUUGUUUUUUAGUCACUGUUUCAUUUUUUUGUUUCU
RNAcentral lists this long non-coding RNA (371 nucleotides) under Vigna radiata. RNAcentral describes it as "long non-coding RNA (VRAD_LNC006483)". The record is from RNAcentral. Lineage: Eukaryota; Viridiplantae; Streptophyta; Magnoliopsida; Fabales; Fabaceae.